AAUCAACGCUGGCGGCGCGCCUAACACAUGCAAGUCGAACGAGAAAGUGGAGCAAUCCAUGAGUACAGUGGCGUACGGGUGAGUAACACGUGGGUAAUCUACCUCUUAGUGGGGAAUAACCCUGGGAAACCGGGGAGUAAUACCGCAUAAGCUCGAGAGAGGAAAGACAGCAAUGCGCUGAGAGAGGAGCCCGCGGCCGAUUAGCUAGUUGGCAGGGUAAAGCCUACCAAGGCAGAGAUCGGUAGCCGGCCUGAGAGGGCACACGGCCACACUGGCACUGAAACACGGGCCAGACUCCUACGGGAGGCAGCAGUGGGGAAGUCUUGCGCAAUGGGCGAAAGCCUGACGCAGCGACGCCGCGUGAGGGAAGAAGGC
Molecule: ribosomal RNA, 375 nt
Filed under: uncultured bacterium
Lineage: Bacteria
Description: bacterial SSU rRNA
Rfam family: Bacterial small subunit ribosomal RNA
Source: RNAcentral